Molecule: ribosomal RNA, 253 nt
Filed under: uncultured bacterium
Lineage: Bacteria
Description: partial 16S ribosomal RNA
Rfam family: Bacterial small subunit ribosomal RNA
Source: RNAcentral
UACGUAGGUGGCAAGCGUUGUCCGGAUUUACUGGGCGUAAAGAGCGCGCAGGCGGUCGUUCAAGUCGCGUGUGAAAGCCCCCGGCUCAACUGGGGAGGGUCACGCGAUACUGAUCGACUCGAAGGCAGGAGAGGGUAGUGGAAUUCCCGGUGUAGUGGUGAAAUGCGUAGAUAUCGGGAGGAACACCAGUGGCGAAGGCGACUACCUGGCCUGUUCUUGACGCUGAGGCGCGAAAGCUAGGGGAGCAAACGAG